ACGAACGCUGGCGGCGUGCCUAAUACAUGCAAGUAGAACGCUGAAGGAGGAGCUUGCUUCUCUGGAUGAGUUGCGAACGGGUGAGUAACGCGUAGGUAACCUGCCUGGUAGCGGGGGAUAACUAUUGGAAACGAUAGCUAAUACCGCAUAAUAGUAGAUGUUGCAUGACAUUUGCUUAAAAGGUGCAAUUGCAUCACUACCAGAUGGACCUGCGUUGUAUUAGCUAGUUGGUGAGGUAACGGCUCACCAAGGCGACGAUACAUAGCCGACCUGAGAGGGUGAUCGGCCACACUGGGACUGAGACACGGCCCAGACUCCUACGGGAGGCAGCAGUAGGGAAUCUUCGGCAAUGGACGGAAGUCUGACCGAGCAACGCCGCGUGAGUGAAGAAGGUUUUCGGAUCGUAAAGCUCUGUUGUAAGAGAAGAACGAGUGUGAGAGUGGAAAGUUCACACUGUGACGGUAUCUUACCAGAAAGGGACGGCUAACUACGUG
This 494-nucleotide ribosomal RNA is filed under the name uncultured bacterium. Its description in RNAcentral is "partial 16S ribosomal RNA". It matches the Rfam family "Bacterial small subunit ribosomal RNA", at positions 29 to 507 of the family's 1533-position model. The record is from RNAcentral.